CGCGUCCCGUUGCCGGGUGCGGCGGUGCCGCCAUGGCCGCGGUCGGAGCCGGGCCGGCACGGGCUGGUGCUUUCGGACAGUGCCGGAACCGGCACUUCCCUCCCCGGACCGGCCUCUCCUGCCUCGGCAGAGCAGCCAGGACACCCCGGGUUAUCCCUCAGCACCGCGGGUCAGCUCUCGGCUGAGGCGCGAUUGUGCUGAGGGGACGGGGGAUGCCCGGGGGUUCGGCCCUGCCUGAGGGGCAGCGGCUGGUGCGUGUCGGAACAGCGCUUGGACUGUGAAUACUGCGGGUUUUGAGACCUUGGAAGUGCUUAGUUAACAAAAAUACAGGGUUUUGACAUGCGCCGGUGUGUUCUCCUCACAGGCUACCUGGAGUUUCUAUCUCUCGUUAAAGGCUUUUGAGAUCCCUGCCCUGUGAAAGCAGCUGUGCCAUGAGUGUGAGAUGUGUGAGGAAACAUCACUCUUUUAAAUCUCAAUCCUGAAGUUUUUGUCACUGCUUCGUGAGAUUCAAGACCUUCAGAAGCUUAAAAUGGAAAAAAACAACUUGAAAGGAGAUGCAGAAGCCGUGGAUAUUUGUGACCUCAGAAAAGCAACUGAAAGGACUGAACUUGGGCUGAGAAAACACGCUGAAAAUUAUAUAAAUGUUGUAAAUGGCCAAGAGUUAACUCUUUCUUCAGCUGGUAAUAAAGAAGAAAAUUCCAAAGAGCCCCCUAAGUGGAGUCUCCCUUUUGGUGCCUGUCAGAAGCAGCUGGUCUUGCCACGAGUUGAGCCCGUGACUGUCCAGAGGUGCAGCAAAUCAGCCCCACGUGUGUGCCAGGGCUCUCAGGUCUGAAAUCACACCCUGAUUGU
This 849-nucleotide long non-coding RNA is filed under the name Parus major (Great Tit). RNAcentral's name for it is "lncRNA (ENSPMJG00000009993.1)". Lineage: Eukaryota; Metazoa; Chordata; Aves; Passeriformes; Paridae. The record is from RNAcentral.